CUCGGCCUCUUCCAGCCACAUGGUGGACGGAGUGAGAGAUCCUUGAAAAUCACUGCCUGUUUUUGGGAAGGUCAGCUGCCUCACAGAAGAACAUGUCUCCCAUUUUGAAAAUUCAAGGGACACCUGGGGAGGUCGCUCUCUCACAGCUCUGUCCAUGUGGCGUACGGGAGCGUAAGCCUUUGAGCUCCAUGACGUAGAGUCCCAUUCCACACUGUUGGAGAGCAAGUUGGGCCUUCGGGUCUGCAGCCUGCAUAUUCCUACAGCUUCUCUGAGUCUUCGGACAGUGACUGAGGAGACAAACCAUGCAGGAGACAAUUGUCUUAUUUUAGUAACUCAUAGCAUGCUUUUUGAUCCUGGUGUCGUAGAAAGUGGAGUGAAUCCAUCUUCCAUCUGUUUUUCUAGAAGCUGUGGAAGCCUGUGUCAUGCUGAUGGAGUCUCCCUUAACGCCUGAAGAAUCUGUUUCAUUCUGGAAUCUCAAGUGGAUGCUCUGCUCUUGCUGUGUCAUCCUACCAGUUCCGAAUCCUGCUCUAAUUUCGUAGCCUGAGCAAUGCCAUUCUAGCGAUGCUUUUAUGUGAAGGAUUAGACUUCUGGACAUCAUGAUAGCUGCAGUUCUCCAGCUUUUCCAGAGCUCACAAGCUCCGUAAGGGUGAAGCCCUUAUUGUAAGAAAAUGGAGGACGUUGAUUUAACUUUGGUUAUGCCAGGUAUGAAGAGCAAGGGUGGUUUACUGCAAUGCAAGAAACUUUUCAGGUCAUUUUAAAGACGAAACAUCCUGGAAGGAGUUUAGAAGGCUGGCUUUUAUGAAAACAUCAAAUACUGUUUUGAUCCUGCAUCAGCGGAACUAUACAACUGAAAGUAUUAAGCAGCAAGAUGACAGAGAGCUAGCCUUAAUUGGGAAGAGGGCCUGUAAAAGAACCUGCUUAACAAGAUCUCACAGCAGCAACCAUGUUACCUAUUAAUGCUCUUACCAUGUAUGCAACCAUGAUGGUUUCCAGGGCAUUACAAGAACUCUUUGUUUUUAUGGUGGCAGAUGAACAGGUUCGUUGUGGCAUCGGCAUUUGUGAGUCGUAGCUCAUUUCAUGCAUUGCUUACCUUUAUGUGCCCCAUAAAGAUGCUUUUCACUAUAAGCCUGUUAGUUUUUAAGAUGCUGCCCGGACUGGAAAUUCCACUAUGGCAGCACCAGCAGUUACGGAGGAGGGUAACCUGAGGCCCAGGCUCAAAGUUCAAGUGUGUGUGUGUGUGUGUGCGCACGCACGCACGCACACACAUGCAUGUGCCCCUGUGCAUUCCAGAGUGGUAGUGGAGGAAGCCAGGACAGCUGGAUGCAGAAAAAACCAUUUGUGUUACUGAAAAAAGCUGGUUUUCAUGUUGGUAUAUUCUAGCUGCUUCAUGUCCAGCCAUUUCUCUCCCCACUACCCUUGCAACAAUUGUCUUUACUUCCACAGCUCCUGCUUGUACUUGGCACAUGUUGGAUAACAAUAAAGUUUAUAUUUUGUCUCUUU
Molecule: long non-coding RNA, 1500 nt
Organism: Eublepharis macularius
Lineage: Eukaryota; Metazoa; Chordata; Lepidosauria; Squamata; Eublepharidae
Exons: 7
Source: RefSeq, a predicted model, not a curated record